RNAcentral lists this ribosomal RNA (253 nucleotides) under uncultured bacterium. RNAcentral's name for it is "partial 16S ribosomal RNA". It matches the Rfam family "Bacterial small subunit ribosomal RNA", at positions 524 to 776 of the family's 1533-position model. RNAcentral also lists the same sequence under 1 other name. The record is from RNAcentral.
UACGAAGGGGGCUAGCGUUGCUCGGAAUCACUGGGCGUAAAGGGCGCGUAGGCGGACUUUUAAGUCGGAGGUGAAAGCCCAGGGCUCAACCCUGGAAUUGCCUUCGAUACUGGGAGUCUUGAGUUCGGAAGAGGUUGGUGGAACUGCGAGUGUAGAGGUGAAAUUCGUAGAUAUUCGCAAGAACACCGGUGGCGAAGGCGGCCAACUGGUCCGAUACUGACGCUGAGGCGCGAAAGCGUGGGGAGCAAACAGG